Molecule: transfer RNA, 697 nt
Filed under: uncultured cyanobacterium
Lineage: Bacteria; Bacillati; Cyanobacteriota
Description: partial miscellaneous RNA
Rfam family: tRNA (bases 266-338)
Source: RNAcentral
CAGGGAGACAAAACUGAUUAUGAUGACUGAAUAAAUUGUUCAGACCAUAAUCCUGUCACCUUAGGUCGAUCGGUACCUCAGAUUAAUACCCUUUGAUUAAAUAAUGAGAAUUCAUUCUUUGGCUAGGUUGUUAAUUUCAGUUCCUAAACUUGUCUAGGUCACACCCAACAAACUUUUCUUCUGGGCUAUUAGCUCAGGUGGUUAGAGCGCACCCCUGAUAAGGGUGAGGUCCCUGGUUCAAGUCCAGGAUGGCCCAUUCGUUGUUGGGGGUAUAGCUCAGUUGGUAGAGCGCCUGCUUUGCAAGCAGGAUGUCAGCGGUUCGAGUCCGCUUACCUCCACUGAUCCACUUCCUAAUAACUCGUUUUUUGAAGAUAGUUAUUCGUUGAAAGUGACUUAGGAGUAGUUCAACUGAUUGAACCUAGCUUCAUAUCAUUCCUUGCUUUAAAACUAUUAAGCUUGGUUGAUAGGACGCUGGGCCCACUAGGAUUUUAGAAAUUCUAGUUAAGUUCAGUAGAACCUUGACAACUGCAUAUGUGAGUCUGGAAAGAAUUAAAGCAUCUUGAAACAUGCUUAGUUUUAUUAGUAUUUUUUCUAAUAGAAUUAAUUUUCAAUUCUAAAUCAAGAGCCGAGAGUUAAUUUUUAAAGAAUCAAAAUUAGCAAUUUAUGCUUGGUUUUGAGCUUUAAACAUAUUGAUAAU